GUAAUUAUAGUUUAACAAAAACAUUAGACUGUGAAUCUAACAAUAAAAGAUUAUACUUUUUAAUUACC
This 68-nucleotide transfer RNA is filed under the name Thryonomys swinderianus (greater cane rat). RNAcentral describes it as "transfer RNA-His". It matches the Rfam family "tRNA". Rfam says of the family: Transfer RNA (tRNA) molecules are approximately 80 nucleotides in length. Their secondary structure includes four short double-helical elements and three loops (D, anti-codon, and T loops). Further hydrogen bonds mediate the characteristic L-shaped molecular structure. tRNAs have two regions of fundamental functional importance: the anti-codon, which is responsible for specific mRNA codon recognition, and the 3' end, to which the tRNAs corresponding amino acid is attached (by aminoacyl-tRNA synthetases). tRNAs cope with the degeneracy of the genetic code in two manners: having more than one tRNA (with a specific anti-codon) for a particular amino acid; and 'wobble' base-pairing, i.e. permitting non-standard base-pairing at the 3rd anti-codon position. The record is from RNAcentral. Lineage: Eukaryota; Metazoa; Chordata; Mammalia; Rodentia; Thryonomyidae.